Molecule: long non-coding RNA, 697 nt
Filed under: Ananas comosus (pineapple)
Lineage: Eukaryota; Viridiplantae; Streptophyta; Magnoliopsida; Poales; Bromeliaceae
Description: long non-coding RNA (ACOM_LNC021375)
Source: RNAcentral
AGACCGAGUCGAGUGGCAUAAUUGGCUAAGGUAAAUGUAAUCUUAGGAAAGAAUGACAAUUGAGUAAAGUGUGGCUAAGAAUAAAGAGUAAAAAAUAGCAAGUAAUAAAGAAUGUCUAACAAUAAAGAAUGGCAAUGAUAGAGAGUAAAAUCGUUUAAUUUACUUGCAUAGUUGCAUGAAUUUCAUAUUGCAUAUUGUGAGGCAUAUUCAUGUAUUUUAAUGUUGCAUAAAAUACUUGUGGAUAUCUGUUGGACUAACAUGAUUGGAGUGCCUCCUUGGACCUGGUGGGUCGAGCUUUUUCCUUGGGUGGCCGUACCCACUGGAAACUAUGAACAAUAGUUCUCACCUCCGUGAUGUUUUUGGGGGUACUGGUUUACACGUGAGCGGCGCGGCGGCGCGAGGAAAGGGCAUAACUCCGUAGUUAGCAUCCUACCACCGAGACCAGAGAUAGAAGUACCCUAAGUCGGCUUAGCUUAGGGGUAUAGAAAUGUAAUGAUCAAUGUUGUAAUAAUUAUGUUAAGAACUUGAUGGUAUUUGGAAGCUAAAAAGAAAAGUAAAAGUGUAAUAUGUGAUGAAAAAUGUAAUAUGUGAGUUGAAUGCAUGUAAUAACUUAGUUGUUUAUGUUUUCGAUACUUUCCUUAUGUUGUUCCUGGUUGGAACCUAACGCAUUGUAUGGAUUGUGACGCCUUGGACGUAC